RNAcentral lists this ribosomal RNA (533 nucleotides) under Isaurus tuberculatus. Its description in RNAcentral is "partial 16S ribosomal RNA". It matches the Rfam family "Bacterial large subunit ribosomal RNA", at positions 1849 to 2418 of the family's 2925-position model. The record is from RNAcentral. Lineage: Eukaryota; Metazoa; Cnidaria; Anthozoa; Zoantharia; Zoanthidae.
AGGGUGAUGCCUGCCCAAUGGUUGUAUCUAAAAGCGGUUGAUAAAAGUCGACCUCGUAAGGACAAUUGAAUGGCCGCGGUAACACUGACCGUGAUAAUGUAGCGUAAUCAAUAGCCAAUUAAUUGUUGGCCAGUAUGAAUGGCGCCACGAAGGCCCCACUGUCUUAAGGAAAUUCCCAGUGAAAUUGAAUUCGUAGUGAAGAUGCUACGUGCAAUUUGUUAGACGAAAAGACCCCGUUGAGCUUUACUGGAGCACUUACAUGGCCCUGGCCUUCCCAUGCUUGGGAAUCGGCCGAAUUUAAAUGGGCGGCUUAGAUUAUGUGGCAGCCCCCCGCUGGGGCAGAUGAAACCCCACUCCCCCAUGUCAAAGGGGCUAACCCCCCCCCUUGGGGGGACAGUGUAAGUAGGACAGUUUGGUUGGGGCGACCGCCUUUUAAAGAGUAACGAAGGUGCGCUUAAGGUGCGCAAUUAAUGACUGAAGCCUGACUGCGAGGGGGACACCCCGAGCAGACACCCCAAAGCCCGCCCGAAGGG